GUCCAGACUCCUACGGGAGGCAGCAGUGGGGAAUAUUGCACAAUGGGGGAAACCCUGAUGCAGCGACGCCGCGUGAGUGAGGAAGUAUUUCGGUAUGUAAAGCCCUGUCAGCAGGGAAGAAAAUGACGGUACCUGAAGAAGAAGCCCCGGCUAACUACGUGCCAGCAGCCGCGGUAAUACGUAGGGGGCAAGCGUUAUCCGGAUUUACUGGGUGUAAAGGGGGCGCAGACGGCGAUGCAAGCCAGGAGUGAAAGCCCGGGGCCCAACCCCGGGACUGCUCUGGAAACUGCGUCGCUGGAGUACGGGAGGGGCAGGCGGAAUUCCUGGUGUAGCGGUGAAAUGCGUAGAUAUCAGGAGGAACACCGGCGGCGAAGGCGGCCUGCUGGACCGUGACUGACGUUGAGGCUCGAGAGCGUGGGGAGCAAACAGGAUUAGAUACCCGAGUA
Molecule: ribosomal RNA, 446 nt
Filed under: uncultured bacterium
Lineage: Bacteria
Description: bacterial SSU rRNA
Rfam family: Bacterial small subunit ribosomal RNA
Source: RNAcentral